This 300-nucleotide ribosomal RNA is filed under the name Triticum aestivum (bread wheat). RNAcentral describes it as "partial small subunit ribosomal RNA". Lineage: Eukaryota; Viridiplantae; Streptophyta; Magnoliopsida; Poales; Poaceae. The record is from RNAcentral.
AUGUUCCAGCAUCUUCACUUCCUUUUUGUGCCCAAGCUGGAGCAAAAGCCACUGUUUUGUUGCCAUUGUUCCUGUUCUUGUCAUAAAAACCAUCUUCAAAGGAACCAUAGUCUAUAUUCUGCAAUACUGUUGGAAUCUGUAUCCCCCCUACGAGUACUUCUUUCUCUCUCAUAUCUGUAUCAAUCUUUUCCCUUGUAUUGGUCACAUCCAACCCAAUAUAUGGAGUGUAGAACCCAGCUUCCAGUGCACCCUCACCUACAUGUGAUCGAAAGUCGUUCAGUGGAGGAGGGAUCUUGGUGA